GGAUUACCCUUUUGUGAGAUUCGAAAAAAAAAACCCAUUUUUUUACUUAUUUUCCAAUGAGGAGAGGGAGGGGUCCCGCCGCCGCCGUCGUCCCCGAUGGAGAAGAACCCAAAUAUAGAGGUGUUCGAAAAAGACCAUGGGGUAGAUUCGCAGCUGAGAUCCGAGACCCGUGGAAAAAAACCAGGGUUUGGUUAGGUACUUUCGAUUCCGCCGAAAAAGCGGCUCGAGCUUACGAUACGGCGGCGAUGACACUGCGUGGACCGAAAGCCAAAACGAAUUUCUCAAUCAAUCCCUCAACUACUACUGCUUUUCCGAUCAAUCACCAGCACCGUCGGUUAUACCCGAUGGGUAAUUUUUAAGACUCGGAAAUGAACCCACAAAGACCGACGAGGAGCAGUAUGAGUAGUACGGUGGAGUCUUUUAGUGGGCCAAGACCAACCCAACCGCCGCCGGAAUCAGUUGUGUCGGACCAGAAACAUCAUCAUCAUCGGAAACCGCCGGUGUUGCCAGAGGAUUUCACAGUGACUGUGAUUCAUCAUCGCCAGUUGUCAUCGACGAUGGGGAUAUGGCUUCUUCUUCAUGUAAGCAAAAUCAAACAUUGAUGCCUUUGGAUCUCAAUUUUCCACCGUUGGAUGAAGUUGAUGAUCUCUACUGCACUGCUUUAUGUCUUUGA
Gossypium arboreum is the source of this 673-nucleotide RNA transcript. It is a transcript of the gene named ethylene-responsive transcription factor 3-like, with no coding region annotated. The transcript has a single exon. The record is from RefSeq and is a predicted model, not a curated record. NCBI's taxonomy places the organism in Eukaryota, Viridiplantae, Streptophyta, Magnoliopsida, Malvales, Malvaceae.